GGAGGCACUGGACAAUACAACACCGCAGCCUGCCCCAGCACUGCAGCCAGCAGCCACACCAGGCCCCACGUCGCAGUCGGCUCAGCCUCGUUACGCUCCGGUUCCAGCUCAGCCUCGUCACGGUCCGGGUUCCAGCUCAGCCUCGUCACGGUCCGGGUUCCAGCUCAGCCUUUUCCCGCUCAGGACCCAGACCAGUCAGGCCCGACGUCUACUCAGUCGAGCUCGGCAGCUGCAAGUAGCCCUGCCGGCUCUGGAGAGGACGCCGUCCUGAUCCCUGUUGGCUCCAGUGAGGAGUCACAAGCAGAGUCAGCCCCUGUGCUCCAGCCUACAGACACCACAGCCUCUUCACCUGCCUUGACCUCUGUUGCUGCCCGGUCAAGCCCAGCUUCUGCCCCGUUGAGCUUUGCUGCCGCCCAGCCAAACCAGGUCUCGACCCCUUUUCCUGUCGGUCGGGGGAGGGACACUCCUGUCGGCUCCAGUGAGGACGCCGUUCCUGUCGGCUCCAGUGAGGACGCCGUUCCUGUCGGCUCCAGUGAGGACGCUGUUCCUGUCAGCUCCAGUGAGGACGCCGUUCCUGCCCUUGUUGGUUCCAGUGAGGACGCCGUUCCUGCCCUUGUUGGUUCCAGAGCAGACGCCAUUCCUGUCCCUGUCGGCCCCGAAGAGGUUGUUCCUGUCGGCUCCUGUGAGGACGCCGCUCUAGUUCCUUUUCCUGUCGGCUCCUCAGAGGACGCCGUUCUAGUUCCUGUUCCUGUCAACCCUGGAGGGGUCGUUCGCGUUCCUGUCGGCCUCGCAGUCCCUGCCGCAGGUCCCGCUGACCUCCAGGAGGGGGUCGCGCCUGCCGCAGUUCCUGCUGCGGUUCCUGCCGGCCUCCAGGAGGGGGUCGUUCCUGUUGCAGCUUCUGCUGCAGUUCCUGCCGGCCUCCAGGAGGAGGUCGUUCCUGCUGCAGUUCCUAGUGGUCCUGCAGAGACUUUUGUUUUUGUUCCUAUGUGCACAGGAGCCGUUCUGGGAGGUGCAGGAGGUUCUUGCGGAGCAUCGGCCCCUGGUGAUCUGGCACCGGCCACGUGCGCUUCUACAUCUGGUGGCCUGGCACGGAUCACGUCUGCAGGUGCAGCUCCCAGUGGUCCGACCACUGAAAUUGGCCCUAGUGAUUUCAUAGUGGCACACUAA
Molecule: long non-coding RNA, 1167 nt
Filed under: Betta splendens (Siamese fighting fish)
Lineage: Eukaryota; Metazoa; Chordata; Actinopteri; Anabantiformes; Osphronemidae
Description: lncRNA (ENSBSLG00000006243.1)
Source: RNAcentral